RNAcentral lists this non-coding RNA (790 nucleotides) under Pseudophoraspis kabakovi. The record is from RNAcentral. Lineage: Eukaryota; Metazoa; Arthropoda; Insecta; Blattodea; Blaberidae.
AGGAAGUUUUAUUCUUGCUUAUUUAUUUAUUAUAAUGGAAAGUUAUAUGCAUUUAUUUAAUAGAAUAUUAAUUCUAAAUGGAUAUUAUUUGAUUUUGCAGUAAUUAAUAUUAUUAAUUGAUGAAAUUUUGAUUUAGUUACUUUUAUAUAAUGUUGAUAAAAUAUGUGCCAGCAAUCGCGGUUAUACAUAGAACAUAAAUAAAUAUUUUUAGUUUUUAGUUAUUAUUUAAUAAAUGGGUAUAUUGUUAUAAAUUUUUUAAGGUGAAAUUUAAUUAUUUAUUUAAAUUAUGUAGUUAUAUUGUAUAUAAGAGGCUUUGAAAUCUAAAUGUUAAACUAGGAUUAGAUACCCUAUUAUUUUAGAUUUAAAAUUUAUUGGAUUAAAGUAGUAAUAGUUAUGAUCUUGAAACUUAAAGAAUUUGGCGGUAUUUUAGUCUAUUUAGAGGAAUCUGUCCCAUUAUCGAUAUACCACGUUGAACCUUACUUAAUUAAUUUAUAUGUAUACCGCCGUAUAUUGAAGAUCUUAUUAGGGUUAAAUUUUCUUGAUAUUUUAAUGUUAUGAUAUUUCAGGUCAAGGUGCAGUUAGUAAUUAAGUGGUGAUGGAUUACAAUAUAUUUAUAAACGAAUUGGAUAUUGAAAUUAUGUCUAUGAAGGUGGAUUUAAUAGUAAUUUUAAUAAGAGUAUUAAAAUAAUUGUGGCUCUAGAAUGUGUACACAUCGCCCGUCGCUCUCGUUAAGUUAAGGUGAGACAAGUCGUAACAAAGUAGGUGUACCGGAAGGUGUAGCUGGAAUGAU